This 154-nucleotide ribosomal RNA is filed under the name Eimeria tenella. RNAcentral's name for it is "partial small subunit ribosomal RNA". It matches the Rfam family "Eukaryotic small subunit ribosomal RNA", at positions 391 to 545 of the family's 1831-position model. The record is from RNAcentral. Lineage: Eukaryota; Apicomplexa; Conoidasida; Eucoccidiorida; Eimeriidae.
GGAGCCUGAGAAUCGGCUUCCACUUCUAAGGCNGGCAGCAGGCGCNNNNCUUACCCAAUGAAAACNGCUUCGAGGUAGUGACGAGAAAUAACAAUACAGGGCAUUUUAUGCUUUGUAAUUGGAAUGAUGGGAAUGUAAACCCUUCCAGAGUNAC